Molecule: ribosomal RNA, 589 nt
Filed under: uncultured bacterium
Lineage: Bacteria
Description: bacterial SSU rRNA
Rfam family: Bacterial small subunit ribosomal RNA
Source: RNAcentral
GGAGAUGAGGUGCUUGCACCUUAUCUUAGCGGCGGACGGGUGAGUGAUGCUUAGGAAUCUGCCUAUUAGUGGGGGACAACAUUCCGAAAGGAAUGCUAAUACCGCAUACGUCCUACGGGAGAAAGCAGGGGAUCUUCGGACCUUGCGCUAAUAGAUGAGCCUAAGUCGGAUUAGCUAGUUGGUGGGGUAAAGGCCUACCAAGGCGACGAUCUGUAGCGGGUCUGAGAGGAUGAUCCGCCACACUGGGACUGAGACACGGCCCAGACUCCUACGGGAGGCAGCAGUGGGGAAUAUUGGACAAUGGGGGGAACCCUGAUCCAGCCAUGCCGCGUGUGUGAAGAAGGCCUUAUGGUUGUAAAGCACUUUAAGCGAGGAGGAGGCUACUGAGACUAAUACUCUUGGAUAGUGGACGUUACUCGCAGAAUAAGCACCGGCUAACUCUGUGCCAGCAGCCGCGGUAAUACAGAGGGUGCGAGCGUUAAUCGGAUUUACUGGGCGUAAAGCGUGCGUAGGCGGCUUUUUAAGUCGGAUGUGAAAUCCCCGAGCUUAACUUGGGAAUUGCAUUCGAUACUGGGAAGCUAGAGUAUGG